This 6127-nucleotide long non-coding RNA is filed under the name Sorghum bicolor (sorghum). RNAcentral's name for it is "long non-coding RNA (SBIC_LNC004437)". Lineage: Eukaryota; Viridiplantae; Streptophyta; Magnoliopsida; Poales; Poaceae. The record is from RNAcentral.
GAGGCCAACAGUCACGCGAAGCCACUUCGGGAAUUCAUUUCGAGGGGACCUUUCACAUUGCCUUCCCUCAGAAACUCUAUUUCGUUUUCAUACCUAUCUAGCAGGGCUGUUGCUAGUAUAAAUACCCCCUAAGACUCAUUGUAAUCCAAGACUUUGAUAAUUGAAAUACAGAACCCCUUUGUUCAGCUGCGUGCUAACAAAUUCAGAGAGUGAUCUCUACCCCUUUGCUCUUGUGUUUUCCUUCGCGGAGAUUACAGAAGCGGCCACGUCAUCGGCACCCAAUCCGUGCUCCUGAUCCUCGAGUUCAGGUUGCGUAGGUUGGAUCUUUGAGAGUGUGGUUGGACGAAUCCUUGGUUCAGGCUGCCGUAUAGAGACGGUGGUUGGCUCCUUGUGCGUGUCGUCAGGUUGCACUAGUUAUCCUCGCUGCUUGCAGCAAGUUAUCGGCUGAUCUUCAGCUAGUUAUCCUACGUCGUGAAGAUCGGGACAACGACCUCACCAUCUGGUAUCAAAGCUCAAGUUUCCAUGGUAGGAUUUUUACCCUUAGCUACAUAUAUAUAUCUUGUUCGUCCUAUCCACCAAAAAGCCAUAAAAAAAUUGCAUUAGCCCUUUGUUUCAAUCUGUUUUUCUUGUGAGUUUGGUUAAGUUUCAGUCCAUUAGAGUUUUGUUUAGUUGCUGAUCAUCAUAUCCUUUGUGUGUCCUUUGUGCCUCUUUUAUAUCUACAAAUCCCUAAAGAAAAUCUGAAACCGGUAUCAUCCUUCGCGUAAACUUUGAUCCUAUCAAGUUAGAACGCUGACGGUUGUGUCUUGUUUCAAAAAAAAAAGUGUGUGCAAGUGUUAUAUCUGCUCUUGUUCUUAGUUAUAAAAAAAAGGUAUCAAAAAAAAGGAAAGUGAAAAAAAAGGAGAGUUGAGGAAGAAAAGUUGUGAAGAAAGAGUAGAAAGUUCACUCUGUUUAUGUGCUCAAGUUCUGAAUUUUAUAUCAAGUCACACAAUUAGUCAUUAUCCAUCUUUGGUGCAAAAUUUUGCUUGGUUUUGAUUGCAACACUUGCAUCCUAGGCAUACUCCUUGUUUGCAUCAAAUCUGAAUUAUCUUUGCGCGUGUGUUUGAUCUAUUUACAUCACCCAUAUCUUGUGGUCAGCACUAGGCAUUGAACUUCUAGUUUGGAUUGUGGUUUAACUUUACAAUAUCAAGAAUUCAGACUGCAUUCCUUGUGAAAUAUAUCCCCACCAAGCUCCACAAAUAACCCACCGUCAUAGGAAAAUACUGAUCUUGGAUUCUCCCAACCAUCAUUCUCGGUUACCACCUCGCAUUGGCCGUUGUAAUCUGCGGGGAACUCACAUGAGCUUCGGUUGGUAAGAGAGGUGAGAUUGUGAGAUUCCACAUAUAAUUCCCUAUUCUACAUAUAUUGUUGCUUUGCCUUCACUGAUUUUUUACAGCAAGAUGACUGAGCAUCCGGAGAUUGAUGAUUGUGUCACCAUGGCACAAUUCGAUGAGAUGAAACAAAGCAUGGAGACGCUAACAAACAAUGUUCAAGCACUCAUGAACCGGUUGCAAAUUCAUCCUCAUGAUAAUGCAAACGGCAGUCACCAUGAAGAUGAAGAUGAAGAAAGCGAAGGAGAAGCUGCUCGUCGUGCAAGGGAACGGCGUAGAGAGCGAGCUGCUGCCAAUGCAAGAAGACCUCCUUUUCCACGACGUGAUCAUGGUGGUAGAGAUGCUGGUCAUGGACAUGGGAGAGGUAUUGGAUUGGAAGAAAGUGAAACUGAGGAAGAGGAUGAACAGCCCCAUUAUGAUGAUCGUCGUCACCGAAGAAAUCGUAGGUGUAAUCAGCACAAUGAAGAGAGGUUUGGCAAGUUAAAAUUCACCAUGCCCCAGUUUGAAGGAGGAUCUGAUCCUGAAGCAUAUCUUACAUGGGAGUUGAAGGUGGAUAAAAUUUUUCGUGUGCAUAAUUAUUCUGAGAGAAAGAAGGUUGCCAUGGCUGCUCUUGAGUUCGAUGGGUAUGCUCUAAUCUGGUGGGAGCAAAUGUUGAAUGAAAGAGAAGAAGCUGGUCAAGGUGAUGUUUGUUCAUGGGCUGAAAUGAAGAGAGAAUUGAGAGCAAGAUUUGUCCCCAAACAUUAUCGCCGUGAUUUAUUUGACAAGCUACAGAAUCUGAAGCAAGGAAGCCUCAGUGUUGAUGAGUAUUAUAAAGAGAUGGAGAAGGCGAUGAUUAGAGCCAAUGUAAUUGAAGAUGAAGAGCAAACAAUUGCAAGAUUUAUGUCAGGGCUGCAUCGGAAUAUUCAGCGCAUUGUUGAAUUUCAGCAAUAUCGUAAUCUUGUUGAAUUGGUGCAUCAAGCUAGCAAAGCUGAGCGGCAAUUGCAGCAGGAUAUGAAGUCCACUAGAGGAGUAUCUUUCAGCACAAAGAGUGCAGCAAGUGGAAGUAAAUUUGCACCCAAAGGAAGUAGAAGUAAAGGUACAUUUUCCAGCUCAAAUGGUGGUGCGCGAUCUAGCAACCUUGGUUCUUCUAGUAGCAAAGAGUUGGCUGCUCAAAAUGAGAAAUUCAAAUCAGCAAACUCAGUGGGUUCUUCCAGCAAGAGUAGUGGAAUUCAGUGCUUCAAGUGUGGUGGUCGCGGUCAUGUUGCAAGAGAGUGUCCAAAUGCUAGAACCAUCAUUGUGAAUGAUCAAGGGGAGUAUGAAUCUGCUAGUGAGGAAGAACAAGAAGAUAGUGGAAGUGAGAGUAAUCUUGAGAAGGACAUCUGUGAAUUUGAAUCUGGUGCUGCUCUUGUUGUAACUCAGAUUUUGAGUGUACAAAUGAGCGAUGCUGAAAGUGGACAGCGGCACAAUCUUUUUCAGACUAGAGCUAAAGUGCAAGAUAAGGUUGUCAAAGUGAUCAUUGAUGGUGGCAGUUGCCACAAUCUUGCAAGCAAAGAAAUGGUUGAAAAGCUUGGGUUGAAGCUGCUGAAACAUCCCCAUCCAUAUCAUGUGCAAUGGCUUAAUAAUUCAGGUUCUAUUAAGAUUGCACAAAGAGUGAAAGUUCCAUUCAAGAUUGGUGAAUAUAUUGACACUGUAGAGUGUGAUGUGGUGCCUAUGACAGUGUGCCACAUGCUGCUGGGAAGACCAUGGCAAUAUGAUCGAUCGUCUCUACAUUGUGGUAGAACCAAUCAAUACACCAUCAAGUGGAAGAACAAGGAGUUGAUUCUGAAACCCAUGACACCGCAGCAAAUCCUAGCUGAGCACUUGCAAAAGAGCUCCGAAGUGAGGAAUGAGAGUGCAAAAGAAGUAGAGAAAAAUAAUUUGAGUGCCCUCCACAAAUCAGUGAGUGAGAGCCAGAAGCCAAACAUGAGAGAUGACAGAAAAAGAGAGGGAGAGAACUUCGUGAUGAUAGCCACCAAAUCUGAAAUGAGAGAUGUGAGGAAAAACCCAGAUCAAGUACUAUUUGUACUUGUGUGCAAGGACACAUUGCUUUCAGCUAAUGACUUAACAUCUGUCCCUAGUGUUGUUGCACAUGUUUUGCAAGACUAUGACGAUGUUUUUCCAAAGGAAACACCUGCUGGACUUCCUCCUUUGCGCGGUAUUGAACAUCAAAUUGAUCUCAUCCCUGGAGCUGCACUUCCAAACCGUCCGGCAUACCGCACCAAUCCGGAAGAAACCAAGGAGAUUCAAAGGCAAGUACAAGAACUUUUAGAUAAAGGAUAUGUGCGAGAAAGUUUAAGUCCUUGUGCUGUUCCUGUGAUUUUGGUGCCAAAGAAAGAUGGUUCUUGGAGGAUGUGUGUAGAUUGUAGAGCCAUAAACAACAUCACCGUUCGUUAUCGUCAUCCUAUUCCUAGGCUAGAUGACAUGCUUGAUGAAUUGAGUGGUUCUAUGAUGUUUUCUAAAAUUGAUUUGAGAAGUGGUUACCAUCAAAUUAGAAUGAAGAUUGGAGAUGAAUGGAAAACUGCUUUUAAAACAAAGUUUGGGCUGUAUGAAUGGUUAGUUAUGCCUUUUGGUUUGACCAAUGCCCCUAGUACGUUCAUGAGAUUGAUGAACCAUGUCUUGCGAGCAUUCAUCGGAAAGUUUGUUGUUGUUUACUUUGAUGAUAUUCUAAUUUAUAGCAAGACAUUGGAGGAACAUGUUGAUCAUAUUAAGCAAGUUUUGGAUGUGCUAAGAAAAGAAAAAUUAUUUGCUAACCUUGAGAAGUGCACAUUUUGUACAGAUCAGGUUGUGUUUCUUGGUUUUGUUGUUUCAGGUUCAGGAAUUCAGGUUGAUGAAUCAAAGGUGAAAGCAAUCAAGGAUUGGCCAACUCCUGAAAAUGUGAGUCAGGUGAGAAGUUUUCAUGGACUUGCUGGUUUUUAUAGGAGAUUUGUGAGAGAUUUCAGCACCAUAGCUGCUCCGUUGAAUGAGUUAACAAAGAAAGGUGUUGCCUUCCAAUGGGGUGAACCACAAGAGAGAGCAUUCCAAGAAUUGAAGAAGAGGCUAUCCGAAGCCCCCUUGCCGGUAAAGAAGAACCUGAAGGAGUGGGAAGAGUGCUUGCCACAUGUAGAAUUCGCUUACAACAGGGCAGUACAUUCUACAACUAAUAUGUGUCCUUUUGAAGUUGUGUAUGGAUUCAAACCCCUUGCUCCGAUCGAUUUGUUGCCUCUACCAUUGCAGGAAAGGAUUAACAUGGAAGCAUCCAAGCGUGCAUCAUAUGUCAAGAAGAUUCAUGAGAAGACCAAAGAAGCAAUCGAAAGAAGGUCCAAGUACUAUGCUAAUUGGGCAAACAAGCAUCGCAAGAAGGUGAUAUUUGAGCUCGGAGAUUUAGUGUGGGUACAUCUUCGCAAAGACCGCUUUCCUGAGAAGCGUAAAUCCAAGUUGAUGCCACCGGGAGAUGGUCCAUUCAGAGUGUUGUCCAGGAUCAAUGAUAAUGCCUACAAGAUUGAGUUUCCUGAAGAUUAUGGUGUUAGCACAACCUUUAAUGUUGCUGACUUGACACCAUUCUUUGGAUUAGAAGAAUCAGAGUCGAGGUCGACUCCUUUUCAAGAGGGGGAGGAUGAUGAUGACAUCCCAACCAAGCAUGCUCCCUCUAAUUCCAUGCCAACCUCUACACCGACUACGUCGGCACCAGCCCAAGCCAUUGAUGGAGCAAUUACACGUAGCCGAGCCAAGAAGCUACAACAAGAGGUGAACGCGCUACUUUGUGAGAGUUCUAUUAAUGUUAAUGAGAAUAUUAUACUACCUAAGUGUUCUACUUUGGUUGUGCUUAGGUAUACACAUGAGGAGGGAGGUGACCUAGAUCGCAAGGAUUGGAACAACACGGUGCAGAACGGACCAGUUGAAAGAAGGGCAGAUCGGACCAGUGCGGUGCAGAACGGACCAGUUGAAAGAAAAGAUCAUAACUUUCACUUUCGAGAUGCUAUGAAGGCCCAUGAGCACUUGUUGGAAAGCUCUUCGAGUCUACUUUCCAAUGAAUCUAGUGGAGACCAGUUUGGAUACUCCAUAUUUCCUGCAGACCAGAAUUAGUACAGACUGCUCAGAAGGUCAACAGUCUGUCGUGACAGAAUGUUGGUACAACUUGCCAAGUGAAACUGUACCAAUAUACAGCGUUUCGUGGUGCAUGGAAUACAUUGAUGGAAAGCUCUUGGAGUCUAGUUUCACACCCAAGAAACGGUUCAUCAUUUGGACUUCCCAAUAAAAAGUUAUGGUCAGUUUAUUGGAAACUGCUCUGGAGGCCAACAGUCACGCGAAGCCACUUCGGGAAUUCAUUUCGAGGGGACCUUUCACAUUGCCUUCCCUCAGAAACUCUAUUUCGUUUUCAUACCUAUCUAGCAGGGCUGUUGCUAGUAUAAAUACCCCCUAAGACUCAUUGUAAUCCAAGACUUUGAUAAUUGAAAUACAGAACCCCUUUGUUCAGCUGCGUGCUAACAAAUUCAGAGAGUGAUCUCUACCCCUUUGCUCUUGUGUUUUCCUUCGCGGAGAUUACAGAAGCGGCCGCGUCAUCGGCACCCAAUCCGUGCUCCUGAUCCUCGAGUUCAGGUUGCAUAGGUUGGAUCUUUGAGAGUGUGGUUGGGCGAAUCCUUGGUUCAGGCUGCCGUAUAGAGACGGUGGUUGGCUCCUUGUGCGUGUCGUCAGGUUGCACUAGUUAUCCUCGCUGCUUGCAGCAAGUUAUCGGCUGAUCUUCAGCUAGUUAUCCUACGUCGUGA